CAUAGUCAUCUAGUGCAUAUAC
This 22-nucleotide non-coding RNA is filed under the name Arabidopsis thaliana (thale cress). Lineage: Eukaryota; Viridiplantae; Streptophyta; Magnoliopsida; Brassicales; Brassicaceae. The record is from RNAcentral.